CCCUCACACACACACGCACGCACGCGCAGUCCGACGGGCCCCCAAGUUUGCCCUCACGCUAAUGCGCGCGCGCGCAUCCACACAACGAACAACCCCCCCUUCCCCCCCCUCUCUCUCUCUCACACACACUCUCUUUCGCUUUGUGGGCCGCGCGCCCGCCCGGCCGCGCGAACACUCACACCGCAGGCUCUCCUCCCUUGUCCCUCCUCCCUUCAAAGGUCCAGCACGCAGGCGCGCGCCCACGGCCACGCGCGUAGUACCUUCCCCCCCGCCCUUUCCUGUCUCUAUAGCUGGAGCUGAGGGCCACGGACGUUUUAUUUCACGUUUGAGCUUUUCACCUCAGCCUAAAACAGAUAGAUAAAUAACGGCCGGCCGUCUGAAGGACGGAGUGUGUGUGUAGAAGGGUGACCAAAAAAAAACACCUCUCUCUCUCUCUCUCACACACACACACACACCCGGCCCGUGAGGGACCAGAAUAUGUCUUUUUUUAAAAAGAGCUCCUUUUCCGGCGCUGUUCUCGGCGGAAAUGUUGGGCGGCGGCAGCGUAGACGAGACCCGGCUUGAGGACCUCGUCCACACGGGCAGCUGAGGAACCCGCUUGGCUCCGAAUUGGGAAGGAAGGACCCGCGGAGGAGGGCUCGGGGCGGAAUUAAAAGGCCGCCCGGCCUAACCGCCAGCGGCUCCCUGCAAGCGCCGAGGCCCCAAAGCCUCAGACAAUAACUGCGCUGCCCCUCCCCCCCGCCCCACCGCCGUCCAGCAUAAACCACCGCAGCCACCGAGCGCUCCCGGUUCCGCCCUUCCCUUCCCUGUCAACCAAUUAGUGCCGCGCAAGUCUCAUUUUCGGCCAAUCGUUUAAAAAGAAAAAGCCCCCGUCAAACGGGCGUGCCUACGUCACCGCGUGCGGCAAGAAGACGCCUGCAAUCCCUUGUACUUCCCCAAUUGUGGUGAGGCGAGCCGCAAGGCCGUGGCGCUGAGAUCAUCAUCAGAGCCUGCAGAAAAUGCAGAAAUAAUGGUCUAUCACCCUACAGGACUAGACAGCCAUGCAUGUCAGGUCAUGGGAAGAAUGUGAUGAGACAUGCUUAUGCAUUCACGAGACUCUCAAUUCAGGCUGUGGCAAUAUUGUUUUUCCCAAGACACACAGUUAUGUUCCACCAUUGUCAAACCAGUAUUACAGCUUUCAGGCAUACGUUCCUGCUGUGCUCAAUUCAUAUAAUAAACCUUUAUUUAGUGCACCCUAA
This is a long non-coding RNA of Podarcis muralis (Common wall lizard), 1238 nucleotides long. RefSeq lists it as uncharacterized. The record is from RefSeq and is a predicted model, not a curated record. Lineage: Eukaryota; Metazoa; Chordata; Lepidosauria; Squamata; Lacertidae.